This 564-nucleotide ribosomal RNA is filed under the name Boana rufitela (Canal Zone treefrog). RNAcentral's name for it is "Hypsiboas rufitelus (Canal Zone treefrog) partial 16S ribosomal RNA". It matches the Rfam family "Bacterial large subunit ribosomal RNA", at positions 1829 to 2593 of the family's 2925-position model. Lineage: Eukaryota; Metazoa; Chordata; Amphibia; Anura; Hylidae. The record is from RNAcentral.
CGCCUCUUGAUAAAUUAUAAGAGGUCCAGCCUGCCCAGUGACCCAGUUCAACGGCCGCGGUAUCCUAACCGUGCGAAGGUAGCGUAAUCACUUGUUCCUUAAAUAGGGACCUGUAUGAAUGGCAUCACGAGGGUUAUACUGUCUCCUUUUUUCAAUCAGUGAAACUGAUCUCCCCGUGAAGAAGCGGGGAUACUAAUAUAAGACGAGAAGACCCUAUGGAGCUUUAAGCAAAUUUACAUAUGUAACCAUUUCUCACCCCCCGGUGCACCACAAAAAGUACAACAUUCUGAUAAAUAGCUUUCGAUUGGGGUGAUCGCGGAGUAAAAAACAACCUCCACGACGAACGGGUUAAUCCCCUGAGCCAAAAAUUACAACUUUAAGCACUAAAAAAAUUAACGUUUAUUGACCCAAUACUUUGAUCAACGAACCAAGUUACCCUAGGGAUAACAGCGCAAUCCUCUUCAAGAGCUCCUAUCGACAAGGGGGUUUACGACCUCGAUGUUGGAUCAGGGUAUCCCAGUGGUGCAGCCGCUACUAAUGUGUUCGUUUGUUCAACGAUUAAAA